GCUUGGAUGGCUCAGCUGGUUAGAGCGCAGGUCUCAUAUUCCGAUAUGACCACCACAAGGUGGGUAAUCCUGAGGUCGUGAGUUCGAUCCUCACUCCGAGCA
RNAcentral lists this transfer RNA (102 nucleotides) under Cubamyces sp. BRFM 1775. RNAcentral's name for it is "Leiotrametes sp. BRFM 1775 tRNA-Met". It matches the Rfam family "tRNA". Rfam says of the family: Transfer RNA (tRNA) molecules are approximately 80 nucleotides in length. Their secondary structure includes four short double-helical elements and three loops (D, anti-codon, and T loops). Further hydrogen bonds mediate the characteristic L-shaped molecular structure. tRNAs have two regions of fundamental functional importance: the anti-codon, which is responsible for specific mRNA codon recognition, and the 3' end, to which the tRNAs corresponding amino acid is attached (by aminoacyl-tRNA synthetases). tRNAs cope with the degeneracy of the genetic code in two manners: having more than one tRNA (with a specific anti-codon) for a particular amino acid; and 'wobble' base-pairing, i.e. permitting non-standard base-pairing at the 3rd anti-codon position. The record is from RNAcentral. Lineage: Eukaryota; Fungi; Basidiomycota; Agaricomycetes; Polyporales; Polyporaceae.